RNAcentral lists this non-coding RNA (45 nucleotides) under Schistosoma haematobium. The record is from RNAcentral. Lineage: Eukaryota; Metazoa; Platyhelminthes; Trematoda; Strigeidida; Schistosomatidae.
AUUCAACCGAUGAGUCCCGAAUAGGACGAAACGCGCGUUCUAGAU